UAUAGAUAAACUAAAUGUUACAUUAUUAAUUAUGUAUUAAAGUCCUAAUCUCAGGUGAAAAUGCCAAUGCAUUCAGAAUUUAGAUGAAGGGAGAGCGAAAAGUAAAUUGGAGGAGCAAUGAUAUAUCAAACGUCGUCGCUUAUGUUUUUUUUUUAUUAUUAUUAUUUUUUAUUUUUUAUCUACAUAUCCAGCCUACUGUCUUAAGCUUGCUUCAUCCAAAGAGAACUUAUUGUCAAACCCUAGAGAAGGAGAUUGGGUUGAAGAGCACGUAAUAUUAACGAUCGGGAGAUAAGUCUCUCGAAUGCGGGAAUUAGGUUGUGUACAUCUAAUCUUCUCCCGACUCUGCAGAGGUAGGAGGCUGCACUAUGGAAGUGCCCUCAAGGUAUGUAUUAACACACCACAUGCAUUUUUUGGGGUCCUGAGGCUCCUGUGGGUUGGUCAAGAGAAUUGUUUAAGGAUCUCCUACCGUGCAUUCAUCAUAACGACACAAAUCACAACAAUUUCAACAACUCCACCAAUGACCAAACAUCCACGUACAUUUUCAGAUUAAGGACUUGGGUCCUAGUGACAAGGGAGCUAUAUUAUCAAAAAGGGGACCAUAGGACAAUGAAUUUUCCUAUAGUCCAAAAGUAUUCUGCAGUUACUAUCAAAUUGUGAUUCAAAUUGGGCAAGUUGUCCCUUGACUAUACAGAAGAGAACAAGCACUGGGACAUGUAAGGCAAUAGCCCUAUCUCUUCAGAGGCUUGAAGUUGAAGCCAAUUCACUGUCACACCCUCUUCCGCUGAAUCUGAGUAUUGUUUUAUGUUAAUUUCGUCCGUGAAAUCACAUGCAUGGUUGUGCAGUACCCUCUAUUUGAUAUUAGCAUUCCUAACUAUGAGCCUAUGCUACUCUAUUGUUGUGAUAUAUUCGUUUUUACAUGAGAUAGUCUCUCGCAUGCGGAAAUAAGGUUGUGUACAUCUAAUCUUCUCCCGACUCUGCAGUGGUAGGAGGCUCGUGCACUGGGUAACCCUACGUGGCUGAUAAUUGCUAUAACAACUUUAAUACUGAAAAACACAUCACAUGCAUUGUUUGGGGUCCUGUGGGUUGGUGGUGGACCUCACCCUACCAUGCCGUGGCUGCAAUUCAAGCAAUUAUUAUUGUAGUGUUUUAUAAGAUAUACUAGACAUGAAACUUUUCUUAGUUUUAGCAAACUUUAUUAAUAGAACAUAAGGAGCAGUAAUAAUCAAAUGUCACAAGUUGAUGCUGCCAAAAACAUCAUGGUCAUGGUUGUCAACUUAAUGACCACAUGCCAAGUUCUCAUCAAAUGAAUCUGAUGCAGCCUUCUACGGUGUUCAACAAUCAUUUUGUGUGUGUAAGAAGGGAGAGUUUGUUUGUUUGUGUUUUUUUUUUUUUU
Molecule: long non-coding RNA, 1393 nt
Organism: Cornus florida
Lineage: Eukaryota; Viridiplantae; Streptophyta; Magnoliopsida; Cornales; Cornaceae
Exons: 2
Source: RefSeq, a predicted model, not a curated record